AAGAAAGUGGCAGAGUGGUUAUGUGGUUGGCUUGAAACUAAUUUAUGGAGGUUCGACUCCUUCCUUUCUCG
Molecule: transfer RNA, 71 nt
Filed under: Nannacara anomala (goldeneye cichlid)
Lineage: Eukaryota; Metazoa; Chordata; Actinopteri; Cichliformes; Cichlidae
Description: tRNA-Ser
Rfam family: tRNA
About the family: Transfer RNA (tRNA) molecules are approximately 80 nucleotides in length. Their secondary structure includes four short double-helical elements and three loops (D, anti-codon, and T loops).
Source: RNAcentral